GAUGAACGCUGACAGAAUGCUUAACACAUGCAAGUCAACUUGAAUUUGGGUUUUUACCUUAGGUUUGGGUGGCGGACGGGUGAGUAACGCGUAAAGAACUUGCCUCACAGCUAGGGACAACAUUUGGAAACGAAUGCUAAUACCUAAUAUUAUGAUAAUAGGGCAUCCUAUAAUUAUGAAAGCUAUAAGCGCUGUGAGAGAGCUUUGCGUCCCAUUAGCUAGUUGGAGAGGUAACGGCUCACCAAGGCGAUGAUGGGUAGCCGGCCUGAGAGGGUGAUCGGCCACAAGGGGACUGAGACACGGCCCUUACUCCUACGGGAGGCAGCAGCGGGGAAUAUUGGACAAUGGACCGAGAGUCUGAUCCAGCAAUUCUGUGUGCACGAUGAAGUUUUUCGGAAUGUAAAGUGCUUUCAGUUGGGAAGAAACAAAUGACGGUACCAACAGAAGAAGUGACGGCUAAAUACGUG
RNAcentral lists this ribosomal RNA (467 nucleotides) under uncultured bacterium. RNAcentral's name for it is "partial 16S ribosomal RNA". It matches the Rfam family "Bacterial small subunit ribosomal RNA", at positions 28 to 507 of the family's 1533-position model. The record is from RNAcentral.